UGUCCGCUGUCUACAUUGCUGUUGUUGCUAAAGAACUAAUAUCGACGUUGCUGGCACAGCUGGCUUUUCUCUGAUAACUACAGCUGCGCAUUUGUUUUGAUUUCUGGCCGUGCAUCAUCGUUCGUUAUCGCUGUUUUAAAAAUUUGAAUUUUAUUGCAUAAGCAUGGGCACUCGUACCAAAUAUGCUUGCCUGUUAUGCGUUUCACCAAACAAAACGCCUGCAAAGCAGAAUAUCAAGCAGCUGGAAUCAAAAAUCAUGAGCGCCGUGACUGAGGUGCUGAGAGAGGUGGUGAAGGAGUCUGUUGGCGUCAUUAUGAAGCAGCUAGGUGAGGUGACGGUGGAGCUGUCGAAGAUGAAGGCGAAGAUGCUACCAUUUGAGCUCGAAAUAGAAAAGGCCGAGCGUGAUCGCGCGGAAAUAGCAAAACUGCGCGAUGAUAUACACGCACUCAAGGAGGAGGUGGAAAGUAAUAGCGUGGCGACUGAUAUUAUAAUUAGAGUUAUACCACAUGAGCCGGAUGAGAAAGUAGGUGAAGUUUUCAGCAAUCUCUGCCAAGCAAUGCAGCUGAAUUCCCUGUCUAUUAAAGCUGCUUUCCGCGUACGCACCAAAAACGAAAAAAAUUCACCUAUCAUAGUGAAACUAAAUUCCCCCCAUGAUCGCUCUUUGCUGUUUGCCGCCGCUGCCAGGUUUGUCAAAGCCAAAAAAAGAGGCAUCCAGCUAAGUGACAUUGGGCGCGAAGCUAAUGGGAGAAUACAUCUAAAUGAAUCUCUUACUAGAGGUAGUCGUGAGAUUAUGCAGUUUGCAACGUAGCUUAAAAGACAAAAGCUCAUAAAAUCUGCCUUUUCGUUCAAGGGACAAGUGUUUAUUCGUGUGCAGCCCAGUGUAGCUGCGAUUAAGGUGCUCAGCACAGAGGAGAUAGAUGCAAUCAUUGCGGGCAAAUGACUAGCUAUUAAGUUUAUGUGUAACAUGUCUUCAGCCUCCUCCCUUUAUAUUAUUUCUCUUCUUUUAACUAAAUACUUACUCCUUUCUUACCUUAUUCUAUACUCAUCUUCAAUAAUUUCGGCAUUUUCCGUAAUUUUAAUCGUUCCUAGGGUGCGGUAUAUGUUGCUUCGCACUGACAUACAAGAAAAGUGAAAAUCGCUGUGGUUCCAAAGACAACACGUUUAAUACGAUACAGAUAGUGGGCAUACAAAUGCGCGGCUUGAUGCUCUUGGUUUGCAGGCUUCUGCAAAUGGAUGUAAAAUGAUUGCAAGUGCCUUUCGUUUCUGGCCCAACGUUUCUCCAAAUAAUAUUUUCAUCGGCGCCCUUCGCUCAUUUACAACAACUGACUGUUCUCCAUCACCAUAUCUAUGCCAUUGACGGCCAAAUCCACAUCACCUUUAUACGGCGUGUUCGGAAACACUGCUCUUGCUAGUGGUUCGGAUUUCGGAGCAACUUGAACAGCAACAACGGCACCAACAGAACAUUCGGUCUUUGGCAAACCUGUACCUGUACAAACAUUCCCCAAGCCAUACAAAUGCCCACAUUGACGUUGCUGCCAGUGAUUUUGUAUCUGCCAGAUGAGCCGACCGUUGCACCAAUCGUGGCAUUGGCAAAAACACAUUUAUAGAUUUAGGCGUAUAACUGGCGUUUGCCAUUAUACGAUAGUUGACCAUUUAUUUAUUUCUUUUUAACUUGAAUCUAUUUUUAUAAUAAUACAAACCAUUUGUAUUUGUAUUGUAGAAUUUGGUAUAAAUUACAAUACAAUUACAAUUUUCCAACACUGCGGUGGACCAGAAAGAGAAAAUCACUUAAACUUAUUUUAUAUUCUGUUAAAGCCUACAAACCAAAAUAUGUAAAUACAGUAAAGGGAUCCACAAGAUGUUAUAACGCUUAAUAACGUCUUAAAAGCAUACAUAAGUAUAUGUAAUUUCAUGAAUUAAAAACUAAACUUUUAAGCAGCUAUAAUAUUGUAUGAGUAGGAACUGCUUGUAUAUUUUGCAAUUAAAUAUUCCGCACUUCCACGUUCAACGCAAAAAUUUCGUUUAAACUACAAAUGCAUAAAUAUAAAAAUAUACAGUAUAUAAACAAGGGGAAAUGUUAACAGCCUAAUUCUGUGCACUUGAUAAAUUCACCAUCUUGUUUAUUUAUCAAUAUUGACAAUUUAUCAAGUGUUUCGUAUUCUAUGUCAAAAAUAAAAAGCUUUUUUCUUGAUAAAUUGUCAAGAUGUCAAAUGCCUUUGACAAAUUAACAA
This is a long non-coding RNA of Rhagoletis zephyria (snowberry fruit fly), 2231 nucleotides long. RefSeq lists it as uncharacterized. Lineage: Eukaryota; Metazoa; Arthropoda; Insecta; Diptera; Tephritidae. The record is from RefSeq and is a predicted model, not a curated record.